CCCCCCCCCCCUAAAGAUAAAUCUGCUGAGUUGAGGCUAGCCACUUCAUGGAAGAAACCCCUGUCCUCUGAUCUAGCAAAUAUCAUGCCCAACAAACGUAAUAGCCCAACUCAAUGGGGAGGUUUUGAUUCUUCUGAAAAAUCCAUUCAAGUUCACAAAAGUAAUCCUCAGGAGUCUGUUAAUGGGGUUAAUGUUGGUAUAAAUAAUAACAAUUCAGUUUCAAAAAUGAAAGUUGGUACAGCUUCAACAGAUGGUGAUUAUGCAGGUCAUUCACAAGAUUUCAGAAAACUCCGGGAUUCUCAACACCUGAGUGCACAUGAGGAUGUUUCAAAUUCAAAGGUUCUGCCGAAUGCUGCUGGUUCUGAGGUAUUCAGUUUUCAAAAGAAACUUCCACCUCAAUCUUCCGGUACAAAACCAGUGUUGCCUUCUAUCAACAUUGAUAAGCCUAACCAAAGGUGGACAUUUUCUUCUGAUAAUAGCUCAGGAUUUACUUUCCCAGUUUCUGCAUCUUCUGGGGUAUCUUCUGAGCCACCGACGCCCUCUAUCAUGCCAUCAUCCUCAUCCAUUGGUCUGCAUCAACAGAACGAGGGGUCAUCAAUCCCUUCAUACAAAUUUGGCUCAAGGGGGUCUACUCCAGCCCUCGUUUUUUCUUUCCCUUCAACAAGCAGCGUCCCCAAACAUGAUGAUGUAUCUGACUUGAAGUUCAACUUCGGAUCGGACAAGACGCCAAGGAUAUCUUUCGGUUCUGUAGGCCAAGGUGCCAUAUGUUACUGAUGAAAGGAAUUUUUAAAAGGAUAUUCAUCUUUCUUCUUACAUACUUCUGUUUUUAACUCUUUAUUACAAUUGGACUGUUGAAUUUUCAGUUUGUAAGAAAUCAUAUUCAACCCUCUGCAUUAUUGUUACUUGAGAGAGACGCAGGUAGGUAACUAAGGAAAGGAUAUUUUGAAACAAAAUUUAGUGCUCUCAUAAAC
RNAcentral lists this unclassified non-coding RNA (971 nucleotides) under Hevea brasiliensis (rubber tree). Lineage: Eukaryota; Viridiplantae; Streptophyta; Magnoliopsida; Malpighiales; Euphorbiaceae. The record is from RNAcentral.